UCCAGACUCCUACGGGAGGCAGCAGUGGGGAAUAUUGCACAAUGGGGGGAACCCUGAUGCAGCGACGCCGCGUGAGUGAAGAAGUAUUUCGGUAUGUAAAGCUCUAUCAGCAGGGAAGAAAAUGACGGUACCUGACUAAGAAGCCCCGGCUAACUACGUGCCAGCAGCCGCGGUAAUACGUAGGGGGCAAGCGUUAUCCGGAUUUACUGGGUGUAAAGGGAGCGUAGACGGCGAGACAAGUCUGGAGUGAAAGGCCGGGGCCCAACCCCGGGACUGCUCUGGAAACUGGCUGGCUGGAGUACAGGAGAGGUAAGUGGAAUUCCUAGUGUAGCGGUGAAAUGCGUAGAUAUUAGGAGGAACACCAGUGGCGAAGGCGGCUUACUGGACUGUAACUGACGUUGAGGCUCGAAAGCGUGGGGAGCAAACAGGAUUAGAUACCCCCGUACC
RNAcentral lists this ribosomal RNA (447 nucleotides) under uncultured bacterium. Its description in RNAcentral is "bacterial SSU rRNA". It matches the Rfam family "Bacterial small subunit ribosomal RNA", at positions 330 to 794 of the family's 1533-position model. The record is from RNAcentral.